This 165-nucleotide non-coding RNA is filed under the name Scrippsiella hangoei. The record is from RNAcentral. Lineage: Eukaryota; Dinophyceae; Peridiniales; Peridiniaceae.
UGGUGCAGAGAGUGCGUGUGGGAGACCGCAGGGCACAGGUCAGGCAGGCCUCCAGUGGCGAUGCAUCUGGCGGGUCCUUGGUGGCAGGCUUGGGCCCUUCGCAGCAGCACAGACAUGACGUGAGAGCUCACGACGUGAGCGCAAACAGAACGGGGCUCACUCUCU